Long non-coding RNA from Carcharodon carcharias (great white shark), 1057 nucleotides. RefSeq lists it as uncharacterized. The record is from RefSeq and is a predicted model, not a curated record. The transcript is spliced from 5 exons. Lineage: Eukaryota; Metazoa; Chordata; Chondrichthyes; Lamniformes; Lamnidae.
GAAAGAGAUAAGCAGAAAUUAGAAGCUACAGUGAAGCCAAGUUUUUAACCUAUAACUGUAAAGUAUCAGAGAUCAACUACUGAUUAGAUAAGUGUAAAAUAGAUGAGGGUGGUCAGACCCAAGGGCACAAACAUCAACUGAGAAGAACACACUGGACAGCAUCACCCAUUAUUGUGCAGGAAGAAAGGCAAGGUGAAUCAGAUCUCCUUCAGCUGAGGUUUAAAGGGAAAUAUUCAAGUUAAGAAGACUUUUUUUUGAACAGAUGACAUUGCACUAAUGGUUAGUUUCAACAUGAAAUCAUCUGGAAAACGAGGAAGCUAAAUUAAAGCACCGCAAGAUUGUGGUCAAGAGGACACUGUGAUGGUCUACAACAGAGGGAUGAUACCCAAGAAAUGCAACCUGUUCAGGAGGAAGACCAAGAAGACAAGUGAUGAUGAAGACACACAGUCACUUGACUUCACGCUCGCAGUCACCAGCUCAGAUACCAACAAUGCAUGUAAGAUAGCUUAGAGGCAGGAUCUGCAUGUGCAGGGACACCAAGUUCAAAUACACAGCAGUCACGGCAGGGACAAUGUUAGCCCAGGUGUCAGCUCUACAGAGGGUAAGGUCACACACAAGUUCUGCAGAAGAGGACUCAGGUGAGGUAUUUGAUGGGACAAGCUACAGAAAAAGGUUGAUGGGUUGACAUAGUGAGGUGCUUGAUUCAUUGACAAGCCUGCAUUCAAUGUCUAGCACUGGGCUUUGCACAGAAACCGGAAUUCAAUCUUUAUAGCAUAGUUCUGAUGGCCAAUUCCAUCAAAACACUCCUGGAUCCUAUCUGAUGCAGUGCCUGGUGACCAAUGCUUCAGCUUCCAUUGAAGCAUGAGCAGCUUCCACCAAACUCCCAAGUGCUGCAAUGGAAUCUCAGCCUGAUGUUAUUCAACUUUAGACUUCUGUAACAAUGGCUUUGAUCCACAAACAUUCACUCCCUCCACCACCAAAGCACCGUAGCAACAGUGUGUACCAUCUACAAGAUGCACUGUAGGAAUUCACCAAGGUUUUUUAGACAGCACCUUCC